Molecule: ribosomal RNA, 550 nt
Filed under: Daedaleopsis septentrionalis
Lineage: Eukaryota; Fungi; Basidiomycota; Agaricomycetes; Polyporales; Polyporaceae
Description: SSU rRNA
Rfam family: Bacterial small subunit ribosomal RNA
Source: RNAcentral
GUAAGACUCGCAGGAUGGAAUAGCUAAUGAAUCAUAGAAUUUUUUAAAAUUCAUGAUGUCGUAAGGGAAAAUAAUGAUAAUACCUUACUAUGAGUGUCGUCCAAAUCUGGUGCCAGAAGACUCGGUAAGACCAGAGACGCAAACGUUAAUCAUCAUAAACAGGCGUAAAGGGUUUGUAGGCAGCUUUCACCAAACUAUGAUUACAAAAUAAAGUAGUUUAAUUGAAAGCUAGAAUCAAAAAGAGGUUAUAGUGUAUAACGCCUAGAGGAGGGCUGAUAUCCAUAGAUCCUAGGCAGAAUACUCAGGGCGAAGGCCACUCUCCACUACUGAUUGACGCUGAGAAACGAAGGUUAGGGUAGGAAAUAGGAUUAGAUACCCCGGUACUCCUUUCUGUAAACGAUGAAUGGUAGUCAUUAGUUUUAUAACUAGAGACGAAGUUAACACAAUAACCAUUCCGCCUUGUGAGUACUACUGCAAAGUAGAAAACAAAAAAAUUAGUCGGUCUCGAAGCAAACGGAGUGAAGCAUGUUAUUUAAUUCGUAAUCCCCCA